UGGGGAAUAUUGCACAAUGGGGGAAACCCUGAUGCAGCGACGCCGCGUGAACGAAGAAGGUAUUCGUAUCGUAAAGUUCUGUCCUAUGGGAAGAUAAUGACAGUACCAUAGAAGAAAGCUCCGGCUAAAUACGUGCCAGCAGCCGCUGUAAUACGUAUGGAGCGAGCGUUGUCCGGAAUUAUUGGGCGUAAAGGGUACGCAGGCGGUUUAAUAAGUCGAAUGUUAAAGAUCGGGGCUCAACCCCGUAAAGCAUUGGAAACUGAUAAACUUGAGUAGUGGAGAGGAAAGUGGAAUUCCUAGUGUAGUGGUGAAAUACGUAGAUAUUAGGAGGAAUACCAGUAGCGAAGGCGACUUUCUGGACACAAACUGACGCUGAGGUACGAAAGCGUGGGGAGCAAACAGG
RNAcentral lists this ribosomal RNA (403 nucleotides) under bacterium. Its description in RNAcentral is "partial 16S ribosomal RNA". It matches the Rfam family "Bacterial small subunit ribosomal RNA", at positions 355 to 776 of the family's 1533-position model. The record is from RNAcentral.